RNAcentral lists this ribosomal RNA (442 nucleotides) under uncultured bacterium. RNAcentral's name for it is "bacterial SSU rRNA". It matches the Rfam family "Bacterial small subunit ribosomal RNA", at positions 28 to 490 of the family's 1533-position model. The record is from RNAcentral.
GAUGAACGCUGGCGGCGCGCCUAACACAUGCAAGUCGAACGGCACCCACCUUCGGGUGGAAGCGAGUGGCGAACGGCUGAGUAACACGUGGAGAACCUGCCCCCUCCCCCGGGAUAGCCGCCCGAAAGGACGGGUAAUACCGGAUACCCCGGGGUGCCGCAUGGCACCCCGGCUAAAGCCCCGACGGGAGGGGAUGGCUCCGCGGCCCAUCAGGUAGACGGCGGGGUGACGGCCCACCGUGCCGACAACGGGUAGCCGGGUUGAGAGACCGACCGGCCAGAUUGGGACUGAGACACGGCCCAGACUCCUACGGGAGGCAGCAGUGGGGAAUCUUGCGCAAUGGGGGGAACCCUGACGCAGCGACGCCGCGUGCGGGACGGAGGCCUUCGGGUCGUAAACCGCUUUCAGCAGGGAAGAGUCAAGACUGUACCUGCAGAAGAAG